RNAcentral lists this ribosomal RNA (497 nucleotides) under uncultured bacterium. Its description in RNAcentral is "partial 16S ribosomal RNA". It matches the Rfam family "Bacterial small subunit ribosomal RNA", at positions 28 to 507 of the family's 1533-position model. The record is from RNAcentral.
GAUGAACGCUGGCGGCGUGCCUAAUACAUGCAAGUCGAGCGAACAGACGAGGCGCUUGCUCCUCUGACGUUAGCGGCGGACGGGUGAGUAACACGUGGAUAACCUACCUAUAAGACUGGGAUCACUUCGGGAAACCGGAGCUAAUACCGGAUAAUAUAUUGAACCGCAUGGUUCAAUAGUGAAAGACGGUUUUGCUGUCACUUAUAGAUGGAUCCGCGCCGCAUUAGCUAGUUGGUAAGGUAACGGCUUACCAAGGCUACGAUGCGUAGCCGACCUGAGAGGGUGGUCGGCCACACUGGAACUGAGACACGGUCCAGACUCCUACGGGAGGCAGCAGUAGGGAAUCUUCCGCAAUGGGCGAAAGCCUGACGGAGCAACGCCGCGUGAGUGAUGAAGGUCUUCGGAUCGUAAAACUCUGUUAUUAGGGAAGAACAAAUGUGUAAGUAACUAUGCACGUCUUGACGGUACCUAAUCAGAAAGCCACGGCUAACUACGUG